UACGAAGGGGGCUAGCGUUGUUCGGAAUUACUGGGCGUAAAGCGCACGUAGGCGGAUUGUUUAGUGAGGGGUGAAAUCCCAGGGAUAAACCCUGGAACUGCCUCUCAUACUGGCAGUCUCGAGUCCGGAAGAGGUGAGUGGAAUUCCGAGUGUAGAGGUGAAAUUCGUAGAUAUUCGGAGGAACACCAGUGGCGAAGGGGGCGCACGGGUCCGGUACUGACGCGGAGGUGCGAAAGCGUGGGGAGCAAACAGG
This 253-nucleotide unclassified non-coding RNA is filed under the name uncultured Alphaproteobacteria bacterium. RNAcentral's name for it is "contains 16S-23S intergenic spacer region". It matches the Rfam family "Bacterial small subunit ribosomal RNA", at positions 524 to 776 of the family's 1533-position model. The record is from RNAcentral. Lineage: Bacteria; Pseudomonadati; Pseudomonadota; Alphaproteobacteria.